This is a long non-coding RNA of Camelus dromedarius (Arabian camel), 640 nucleotides long. RefSeq lists it as uncharacterized. The record is from RefSeq and is a predicted model, not a curated record. Lineage: Eukaryota; Metazoa; Chordata; Mammalia; Artiodactyla; Camelidae. The transcript has 4 exons.
GGCGCGGCGGCCCUGGGACCUCGACAGGCAGCAAGAUGUAGUGUUUCCAGUACCUGGCCCAGCACCUGGCCCAGAGCUGUGUUCACGUAACUUCAUAAGGAAUGAGUCUGGGCACCCUUUCAUUUGGCCCCAGACAGGAAUAUCAGAUGGCCUGGCGUCUGCUAAAGCCCUUAUUAUAUGGGCCACGCUCCACAUGGUGGGCCCACCAGGCUGUGUGGUGCCUUAAAUGUGCUGAACAGGGAGGCCAACAAACUCCGAAUGUUCUGCAAAGAGGAUUCAAAUCCACAAGCCUUCCUGGGAAAGUUCAGGCCACGGAAAGCAUCCUCACGGAUACACCUGUACACUGGGGCAAUAAUCAUCUCAGCUACAUGGGAAACACGUGCAUGGUCCACAGCUAGCACCCCAGUUCUAACCCUUACUAAUGUUAUCCCUUUUGUGCCAAAUCCGAGAAUAGGCAAAUAGCCGAGAAGGUGAGCUCUGUGGCAUUGCCAUUGGGACUUUUGGUUGUAAGUGAUGGAAACCCAGCUCCACAGCGAAAAAAAAUGUGACAAUGAAUAUAUGUAUGUUCAUGUAUAACUGAAAAAUUGUGCUCUACACUGACAUUUGACACAACAUUGUAAAAUGACUAUAACUCAAUUAA